CUUUUUCUUCUGAUUAUUGGUAUUAAUCUAUGACUUUGACUAUGUUUAAAUAGUUUAUUUAUUCUUUCCUUCGAUUCGAUUCAUUAUGUUCAAAACCCUAAAUUCCUAGCUCUAAUCAUGGGUUUCUGAGUGUGUUUUUGAUAAUAUGUUCAACUAGUCUGUUUGUUUCUCAUGCACAUUCUGUGAUUCUGCCACUUUUACCCUAUGUUUGCUUGUUAGGGUUUUUGACUUUGACUAUUCCUGCAUAUUAUGUGUUUAUUCCCAGAAAAUUAUGGCCAUUUCCUCUCAUCAAUACCAUCCUUUACUCUGAAUCCCGGAUUUUUGUGAUUCUUUUACCCCUGCUCUUAUUUGUGUUAUAAUUGCUUCGUUCAGUUGUGAUACUUUCCCUUGGUCAAUGUUACCUUUUUCAUGGAAUGCCUGAUUCUAAUUUUCCUUAAUUAGAAUUUGUCAAACCUAUCCUUUAUUACAUGCUCUAACUAUGCUUAUUUCCUUAUGUGUUAUAUUCCAGUCUCAUAUGAUCCCCUUCCUUAUUUGUCACCUUCUAUCUACGUUGGUAAAUUACUCCCUUAAUCAAGGGAGACUUGGCUGAUAUUUGAUUCUUAAUUGAUUUUUCAGUUCUACAAUUUCUUCUUUCCUUAUAGACUUGACUUUUAAACUAUUAUAUAUAGCCUUUUAUCUUUUCAUUGCACACACGAACAAGGACACUAUUUUGAACUUUCUCUUACACACAUACAUAUUGUUUUGCUUCUCUUGCUGUUUACUUGAUACUUAGUCGGCUACAAGCCAAAACUGAGUCAUUUCAGAUGCUCUAAUGCUCUACACACUACUGCUCUACUUCCCUUCAUUGUAGUGCUCUUCACACCCCACUCUGCACAUAUUCUCUCAUUUUUACUGGUGUGUUUUUAGUUUAACUUACAUUAUCUAAAACAAUAUGUCUCUAUUUUUAUUGCACUUCCUUUUGUUUCUCUUAUGCUUCUACUUGUGGUUCUGCUGUCUCCUUUGCAAUUAGCAUGCCUAUUUUGCCAUGUGAUUACCCCUUUCCUAAAAUUCAGCAUGUCUACUACUUUCUUACAUUUUCUACUACUAUUCUGCCCUACCCCCUAACCCCCAAUACAUUAUAAGCAUCUGUCUGUGACACUUAGUUACUAUGCGAUCCUAAACCCUUCCCCUUAAACCUAAUGUGUAAUUCUGUUUAGCACCCCUUAAUCUAAUAUUGUUAAUCUCCUGGCAUGAAUACCUUGUGAUAUACUAUUGCUGUGACUAUCUAAGUUUUGUAGUACUUCUCUAGUGUUAACUUGUGUGCAAAUAUGUUUUCACAUAUGAACUACUUGUCCCCAAUUCCUCCUAUGCCUAUUUGUAUUUGAACUAUGUAUGUUGAUUUGGUUUUAAGUUGCUGGUUGUCCUGUUUCUUCUUCUUCAAACUUGUUUUCACUAAGGCAAACUCUUCUAUUGCUUUCCAAAACUUAUUUCAAACUGAUCAUUGUCAAAAUUAUUUCCAACUCAAUUCUUUUAAAUAUAUUUAAGCACUCUCACUCUACUCUUAGACCACUAAGUUCUGUCCCUUUUGUGUGAGCCUUGCCUUGAGACCCUUGAGCUCCCUCUGAACUUGGACACAUAAAAGUUGGCCUUUCUACACUGCACUUACUCCGUCUUGGAUAUGAAAUCUGGGUGUAAGCAUUGCUCGGGAUCCCUUGAGGUCUUUAGGGAACUCUGGCACACCCAGAUAUGAGAAAGGCUAUGGAACAAUCUAGGCCCUUGAGGUGAUUUAUUACAUAACUCAGGGAGGAAGUCCUAAUCAAGUGCUAAAAGUCUGGGUCUGUUUCAGGCUCUCUAUAUUUUUACUUUUCUUAUAUAAUUCAUUUCAGUAUUGGUCUAUAAUAAUUUGUUGUAAACAAGUAUUGGGGUUGUCUAGUGAAAAUGGGAGGGUAGUUAGACAUGUUAUCGACAUCAAAGGGUAGAAACCAUGUCUUAGGUUUACAUUUCCUGUGUGUGCAUUAGAAUCCUUUGUAUAAGAUCAACCUAUUCAAAGCAUGUCAUGCGUUAGAUAUCAUGUUUCUUAGGUCUUAUUGUUUCAGCAUCUCAUUUGGCAGCACUUUACCACUUAGAAACCUUAUUUUAGGCUAAAUAAUAGCAUCAACAUAAAAUUGUUGCUCCUGCACAUCCUGAAAUCAAGCUGUAACUUUUGGGAAUUUAAAAUCAUGCUUUAGGAACCUAAAAUUAUUUUUCAUCUUCAUUUGUGCAUGUUAGAUACCCUAUUUUAGGAUUUUGUUUACACUCGUUCAGUUAUACCUAGUUAAAUUGUGAAUGCAUGAAAAAGACAUAAAAUAGUAUCUUAUUUUAUUAUCAUGUUUAAAUGAAACAAGUCACAAUCCCUGCAUGUCGUUGCAACAUUUAGAACAGCAUGCUUUAGGUAAAAUAACUGCCAAACUAUUUUUAAUAAUUCUGGUAGCUUCUGCAUAUUAUUUUAUGCCUGGCAAGCCUUAGGCAAUAAACUUUAAAAUAAAACGAUAACCGUCUUUGUGAUUAGUGUUUAACUGUCAACGUGUUAAAAUCAGUAGGCAAGCCUGCUUCAGACUUCUUCUCUGAGUCAUGUAAUAAAUCUGGUUUCGAUGUUAUCACUUAGAUACCAUGCAUAGAAUCUGAAUUUAGACCUUAAUUGUGCAUGAGUCAUGUUGUUUAUGUGUACUAUGUGUAGAGGUAUAUCUGAGCCUUUUAUUUGUCUUUCAUUCUCCCCUUUAACUGAAGUCCUACAUAUUUAUUAUAUGUUGCCUUAGUAUUUUACCAUUAAAGCUGAGGGUUUUCCUGAAACCCCCUCCCCCCCAUAGGAUAGGAGUCCUAAAUUCCUCUAGGACUGAUAGGAAGGGACAUGUAAUAGCAUGUAAUAAGGGUUGAGAUCAACCCUCACUUUAAUCACCUUCACAGGGCGAGGAAGGGUAGAUAUGGAUAUGAUGACCGGUACAUUAAUACCACGUGUAGCCCUCUUUGAGGAAUGUCAUACUGGGUAUCGCAUUAAUAUGAUACAUAUUAUAAACAAACCUAGGACACCCCUAUUUAUAUUCGCAAAUAUGCUUAGAUUGUAAUUAUUUUAAAAAUCUCGCUUUUCACUAAUUGUUUUUCAGACAAUUGUGUAUCUAAACUUAAAUCCCCUGUUAUUUGAGCCUUAUUUAUCUAUUUGCUAAUUGUACAAUCACAAAAACUGUUUGACCGGGAAUCAUACUAGUGGAUCCUGAGGGGUUCCUAACACCUUUCCCUUAGGAUAAUUUCAAGUCCUUACCCUUUAUCUGGUUACCAAACGAAGUUAUAAAUGAACCCUAUAGGUGCCUUAACGCACCUUAGGUCCUUAGGUGGCGACUCUUCAAAAAUGUAAACCUCCUUUCCAAAAGGAGAGAGUUGUCCCAACCAAAUGUCAUAAACCCGAUUUCGCGAGAGAAAGGGGGCGCGACAACAUUUAUUGGCUAUUUAAUGUCGAUAUAUAUAACAAGGGCUAUUUUCUACCAAUUAUAUGAGUAGAUUGUUAUAUCACGCCAAAAUCCCGGUGGACUGCAACAAGCAUUAUUUGAGGCCCAAACUGAAAAUAAUGCUUUGGGACGACUAUUUGAGGCCCUGCUAAGGUUGGCCAAUUGAUAGAAAUUUAAUAAUAAUCAGAUUUACAAGUGAUCAUUCAAAAAUAGCCGCAGUUUCAAAAGUAAUCAAAAUUUAGCAACUUUUAUGUAAAGAUAAAUUUGAACAUAAAACACCGUUUAAAAUCUGAAAAAGUACACCAGCAUAAUAUACUGGAGUUCGAGUAUAAUAUGCGAUCCAACAUAAUAUACUGGAGUUGGAGCACUGGUUCUCUAGUCUCCAAUAUAUUAUACUAGAGCUAGCAAAGUAUAUCGAUCCAGCAUAAUAUGCUGGAAGAUCAAAUACAGGUGCACCGAACUCCAGUAUAUUAUGCUGGACUAGUCUCUGUUGUAGCAAAGUAGUAGUUAUUUUUCAGUUACUUGGCAAAUGCUAGCUAUUUUUGAAUGAUUAGUCUAAAAACUAGCUAGACCAUGCUAUUUUAGAUUUAAAUUAGAAAAUUUCAAAAUUAUGUUAGAGAUUUACAAUCAUCUUCUAAAAUUGGGCAAGGUCAACAAAUGCAAUCAUCAUCCAAAAAAUUAACACAACUAUGUCUAAAUAUCUUGUAAAAGAUCUAACUAUAAUAACAUACAAGAAGUUGCAGCAAUCAUUAUUGACUUUUUAUGAUACAUAGGAAACAUUGGGCGAUUUUUUUGUUACAAUGAAUACAUUAAUGGCUUUUUGUGAUACAAGUUAAAAUUGAG
Molecule: long non-coding RNA, 4301 nt
Filed under: Nicotiana benthamiana
Lineage: Eukaryota; Viridiplantae; Streptophyta; Magnoliopsida; Solanales; Solanaceae
Description: long non-coding RNA (NBEN_LNC033943)
Source: RNAcentral